Molecule: long non-coding RNA, 4189 nt
Filed under: Eucalyptus grandis
Lineage: Eukaryota; Viridiplantae; Streptophyta; Magnoliopsida; Myrtales; Myrtaceae
Description: long non-coding RNA (EGRA_LNC007125)
Source: RNAcentral
GGCAGUGUCGCGGGUUGCAGAAGCGCGGUGGUGUCGCUGGGCGUCGGCGCUUGGGUCGUCGUGAGUCGGCGCGACGAUGGCUGGUGGAGACCGGCGAUGCGAGCGCAGCGCGGGUGAAGAGAAACUCACGAUUGGGCAGCAAAUGUGGGGAAGAAGAUGAACAGUAAAUGUCCCAUCACUUCUUCCCCUCUACUUUUGGCUUUUUCCUUUCCUUUUCACUUUUUCCCUCUGCAGCCGCACACUCUCCUCUGCUUUCGUACUCUCUCUUUCUCCUCUUUUUUUAUUUUCUUUACUUUUCAAUUUUUGACGAAAAGUAACCUUCCCUCCCCCGAAAGGUGAAGAAGAACCCCUCUAUUUAUAAAGCGAAAAUUCGAGUUUGUUUCGCCGGUAGAGAUUUUUGCUCAACCUCUCGCCGGUGGAGAUUUUCGCUCAAUUUCUCCAACAAAGAAAUGGCUCCAAAAUCCGACUGUUGAAUUAUUUUGAAUUCAAAAUUUCUUUUCAAAAUUUCCCUCUAAUCUUUUAUUUUCUAAAAAUUAAUCUAAAUUAGGUGUCAACAGGGAUGAAUUCCCUGGCCCUCACGGUUUUCUAACUCGGUUUAGCAAGGACGCUUUGUCAAUUGUGGGCAAGAUUUUACCUCUGCUGUCUUCGAUCUCUUUAGCACAUCUGAGUUGCUGAGGAAGGUCGAAAUGCCUGAUUUUCGACCCAUUUCUUGUUGCAUUACUCCUGACAAAUCCAUAAAUAAGUAUUGCCAAACAGACUGAAGGAGAAGUCUGCCUGCUUCCAUAAGUAAUAACCAGUCAGCUUCGGUGGAAGGGAUGGAAUGUCUCAGACCAAUGUUCUUUUAGACCAUGAUUUAGUAAAGAACGGUCAUAGGUUUGGCAUUCCUCCUCGAGGCAUGGUUAAAGUUGAUUUGGUGAUGGCUUUUUACUCAAUUAGUUGGGUCUUUUUUGUUAAGAUUUUGCUUAAACCUUCCUGGCAUGUUGCCAUCUUCUAUAUAUGGAAGGAGAGAAACGAUGCGUGUUGUAUAAUGAUAGUUCUCAUCAUGCUGGUAAAGUGCUCAGACGUGUGAAGUUUCUGAGUCGGACCCAUAUAUUUGGGCUCAGUCUCACGUUAACCGAGGUGAAGUUUUGGAAUUGCUUGAAUAGCAAGUUUUGAGAGAGAGAGAGAGAGAGAGAGAGAGAGAGAGAGAACGAGAGCAAUAGGGGUGAGCAGCAGUCUAGGGUCAACCCUGGACCGGCCCAACCCUGCCGGUCCUGGUCCGGUUCCUAAGGGGACUAGGUCGGUCCUUGGUCUUGAAAUUCCAGGACCAACACUGAACGGGUUGGCCCUCGGUCUUAAGAGUUUUGGGUCGGUUCAACCCUAGACCAACCCUGUAUAUUAUAUUAUAUUAUUUAUAAUUAUUUUAUAUAUUCAAACCUAAGUAAAAUGUCUAUUAUAUUAUAUUAUAUUGAGACGUUCUAUCAAUAGCACUAAUAGUAGUUUCAAUUUAAAACUUUUGUUGAGUAUUAAUUAUGUGUCGUUUGUUUUGUUUUCAGGUGUUUAGAAGUUCAAGUGAAUUAACAAGAUGUGAAGUUAUAUAUUCAUGGUUUAUAUUAAGUAUUUUGAACUUUUUAUGGUUUAAUUGUAUUUUACUAAUGAAUUUCAGCUGCACUUUGCUUUUCAAUUUGUGUCAAAUGGUAGAAGUUUUUGAAGAGUAGAGUAGUGCUGCAGUUGCGACGGUGAUUUGCUAGUCAAGUGGUGUGAAGCUCAUUUUUUGGUUGAGUGGACUCUACAUGAUCGAAUGCAAGAAAACACUUUUGCAUAUGGUGUUAUGAAUAUUAAAGAUAGAUGACUACAAGAACUUUCCAUCUUGUCCCAUAACUCGAUUUUUAGCAAGUAUGAAAUUUCGAUUACUGUGCCAUCUUAAAUUUGCUAAAUAUGUAUUGGUAUUUAUAGUUUAGUUGCACAAUGCUGCAUUGUCGAUGGAUGUGUAAUUUGAAUUUGUAGGUUUGCUUUUUUAGGGAGUAUAAAAAGUAAAACAAAAAAAUUAUCGAUCUGUCCCGGGUUGACCUUGGAACCCAACUGAACCCAUUGGGUCGGUCCGGUUUUUGGUCCCAAGCUCAAUAGAGUUGGUCCUCGGUCCUAAAAAUUGAGGACCGACAUUGUACGGGUUGGUCCUAGGGUUAGGGGAUGGCCUGAACCAACCUGAACCAUGCUCACCCCUAGAGAGCAAUAAGUUAGGCUAAGUCUAACAUAUUGAAAAGUGUUAGGCUGAAAGCCUUAAAAUCCUAUAUCCAUGUGACAAAAGCGGACCAUAUAAACUUUGUUUUACAAAGCCAUUUGACAUUUUAUGACCCCAUUUUCGUGGAAACAGUGAACUAUGUCGAGUGAUCAUCAAUGUGAGAUUGAGAUGCAGUGCAUUACAAGAGCAAUUUGACAUAUUAUGACCCCAUUUUCGUGGGAAUUGCUCCAAAGUUGAAGAGAAGCAAUUCAUCUUUCUAAAGCAGCGAAGCCGUUUGCAUCAUUUUUAGGCCUACAAUAUAAUUGGAUCCGGCAGACUCCCUUUUGGGGAGAGGACACGGUCAAUCUUCAUUACUCUUCAAUUUGCCAACAUUAUUUAAAAUUAGCCCUAACAAAAACCACCCAUCUAAAAGUAUAAUCUAAAAAUUAUAAUCCUAUAAAUGCAAAUUCUAAUUUACUAACCCUAAAUGCUCUAAUGCAAUAUUUAGAUUUUUAUGUACUUUUUGAUUUUGAUUUUGAUUUUUUUUUUAAUUUUUCCAAACAAGUAAUUAUUUUAAAAGAAUUAAGACAAGAAUUAAAAUAACCGAAAAAAUAAUCCGUUGUCUCACGGAUUAAAUUAACAAUUAUUUUAACUCUAUAACGAUUUAACAAUUGAAAUACUAUCAAAAUUCCUAAAAAUUAAAGUAAUUAAAAAAAAUGACCCGACGUCUUACGGGUCAAAUUAAUAAUUACCAUAAUUUGAGAUAAAGUACUUGCAGUUAAUACCUACGAGAUUUAUAAAAGAAAAGCACAUCUCAAUAUUCUAAAUUGAACAAUAAUAACAAAAUAAAUAAAAUAAAGAAAAGCAAACUACCUAAUUUGCUUUUCUCUUUUUCUUUUGUUUUUGUUUUUGUUUUUUUUGUUUCCUUCUAGUCACGUGCUCGUGAGUCUCUGGGUCACUGGGGAGCAACACGUCGUCGGACCAGCAGGGGGCUCCGACGAAGGUGAACCGGCGGUGGGCGAGCGGUGAAGAGGUGAAUCGGCGGUGGCUCGAAUCAGUACAGGAGCGGUUUCGUCGGCGGAACAGAGGUGGCGCGACGGUGGGCACUGGAUCUGCUGGCGUCGCAGGGGGUGGUCACGAACAGAGGUGCUGCAGCAUCACGGGGCAGAGCAGCGCGGGGAAACUUCAGGUGCAGGCGCUGAUCGGAAGCGGGGCCGUCGUGGGAUCUGCAGAGGGGCUCCGGCGUCGCUGGGUCGUUGGCGGGGCUUCGGGUGCGAGUCCGGCGUCGCGAGGGGAGGACACGAGCGGCGGACGGCGUCGGGUGCGGGUCUGCUCGGAAUUGGCUAGGCUGCGGGUUGUAGAGGCGCGGUCGUCGGGCUGCAACGGAGGUGCUGCAGGGGCGCAAUGGCGGAGCUAUCACCGGCGGCAGACGGAAAGCGGGGGAGGACGUCGGCGCUGCAGGCUGGCGUCACGGGAGGAGACUUGCGGCAGCGGUCGUUGCAGCAGGCGUCGGGACGAGCUCGCUGGUGCAGAGGUGCGGUCGUCGGGCGUCAGGCACCGGGUGGUCGCGGACGCAGCAACAGCGGAGGUGUGGGCCGGUUCGGGAUCGGCAGUGUCGCGGGUUGCAGAAGCGCGGUGGUGUCGCUGGGCGUCGGCGCUUGGGUCGUCGUGAGUCGGCGCGACGAUGGCUGGUGGAGACCGGCGAUGCGAGCGCAGCGCGGGUGAAGAGAAACUCACGAUUGGGCAGCAAAUGUGGGGAAGAAGAUGAACAGUAAAUGUCCCAUCACUUCUUCCCCUCUACUUUUGGCUUUUUCCUUUCCUUUUCACUUUUUCCCUCUGCAGCCGCACACUCUCCUCUGCUUUCGUACUCUCUCUUUCUCCUCUUUUUUUAUUUUCUUUACUUUUCAAUUUUUGACGAAAAGUAACCUUCCCUCCCCCGAAAGGUGAAGAAGAACCCCUCUAUUUAUAAAGCGAAAAUUCGAGUUUGUU